AGCGUGUAGGUGUGUGUUCCAGGUAAAUCCGGUUCACUUUAACACUGAGGCGUGACGACGAGGCACUACGGUGCUGAAGCAACAAAUGCCCUGCUUCCAGGAAAAGCCUCUAAGCAUCAGGUAACAUCAAAUCGUACCCCAAACCGACACAGGUGGUCAGGUAGAGAAUACCAAGGCGCUUGAGAGAACUCGGGUGAAGGAACUAGGCAAAAUGGUGCCGUAACUUCGGGAGAAGGCACGCUGACACGUAGGUGAAGUGAUUUACUCAUGGAGCUGAAGUCAGUCGAAGAUACCAGCUGGCUGCAACUGUUUAUUAAAAACACAGCACUGUGCAAACACGAAAGUGGACGUAUACGGUGUGACGCCUGCCCGGUGCCGGAAGGUUAAUUGAUGGGGUCAGCGCAAGCGAAGCUCCUGAUCGAAGCCCCGGUAAACGGCGGCCGUAACUAUAACGGUCCUAAGGUAGCGAAAUUCCUUGUCGGGUAAGUUCCGACCUGCACGAAUGGCGUAAUGAUGGCCAGGCUGUCUCCACCCGAGACUCAGUGAAAUUGAACUCGCUGUGAAGAUGCAGUGUACCCGCGGCAAGACGGAAAGACCCCGUGAACCUUUACUAUAGCUUGACACUGAACAUUGAGCCUUGAUGUGUAGGAUAGGUGGGAGGCUUUGAAGUGUGGACGCCAGUCUGCAUGGAGCCGACCUUGAAAUACCACCCUUUAAUGUUUGAUGUUCUAACGUGGACCCGUUACCCGGGUUGCGGACAGUGUCUGGUGGGUAGUUUGACUGGGGCGGUCUCCUCCUAAAGAGUAACGGAGGAGCACGAAGGUUGGCUAAUCCUGGUCGGACAUCAGGAGGUUAGUGCAAUGGCAUAAGCCAGCUUGACUGCGAGCGUGACGGCGCGAGCAGGUGCGAAAGCAGGUCAUAGUGAUCCGGUGGUUCUGAAUGGAAGGGCCAUCGCUCAACGGAUAAAAGGUACUCCGGGGAUAACAGGCUGAUACCGCCCAAGAGUUCAUAUCGACGGCGGUGUUUGGCACCUCGAUGUCGGCUCAUCACAUCCUGGGGCUGAAGUAGGUCCCAAGGGUAUGGCUGUUCGCCAUUUAAAGUGGUACGCGAGCUGGGUUUAGAACGUCGUGAGACAGUUCGGUCCCUAUCUGCCGUGGGCGCUGGAGAACUGAGGGGGGCUGCUCCUAGUACGAGAGGACCGGAGUGGACGCAUCACUGGUGUUCGGGUUGUCAUGCCAAUGGCACUGCCCGGUAGCUAAAUGCGGAAGAGAUAAGUGCUGAAAGCAUCUAAGCACGAAACUUGCCCCGAG
Molecule: ribosomal RNA, 1310 nt
Filed under: Salmonella enterica subsp. enterica serovar Enteritidis
Lineage: Bacteria; Pseudomonadati; Pseudomonadota; Gammaproteobacteria; Enterobacterales; Enterobacteriaceae
Description: partial 23S ribosomal RNA
Rfam family: Bacterial large subunit ribosomal RNA
Source: RNAcentral